Molecule: ribosomal RNA, 460 nt
Filed under: uncultured bacterium
Lineage: Bacteria
Description: partial 16S ribosomal RNA
Rfam family: Bacterial small subunit ribosomal RNA
Source: RNAcentral
CCUACGGGAGGCAGCAGUGAGGAAUAUUGGUCAAUGGGCGGAAGCCUGAACCAGCCAAGUCGCGUGAGGGAUUAAGGACCUGCGGGUCGUAAACCUCUUUUGCCGGGGAGCAGUGGUCCGGACGCGUCCGGACCGGGAGAGUACCCGGAGAAAAAGCAUCGGCUAACUCCGUCCCAGCAGCCGCGGUAAUACGGAGGAGGCGAGCGUUAUCCGGAUUGUGUGGGUUUCAAGGGUGCGGAGGCGGGCAUUUAAGCCGGCGGGCCAAUUUCGGGGCUCCACCACGGCCUGCCGUCGGACCUGGGUGCCUUGAGUGGGCGAGAAGUAGGCGGAAUGCGUGGUGUAGCGGUGAAAUGCAUAGAUAUCACGCAGAACCCCGAUUGCGAAGGCAGCAUACCGGCGCCCUACUGACGCUGAGGCACGAAAGUGCGGGUAUCGAACAGGAUUAGAUACCCUAGUAGUC